UACGAAGGGGGCUAGCGUUGCUCGGAAUCACUGGGCGUAAAGGGUGCGUAGGCGGGUUUUUAAGUCAGAGGUGAAAUCCUGGAGCUCAACUCCAGAACUGCCUUUGAUACUGAAAGUCUUGAGUAUGGGAGAGGUGAGUGGAACUGCGAGUGUAGAGGUGAAAUUCGUAGAUAUUCGCAAGAACACCAGUGGCGAAGGCGGCUCUCGUGACCGAGACUGACGCUGAGGCGCGAAAGCGUGGGGAGCAAACAGG
Molecule: ribosomal RNA, 253 nt
Filed under: uncultured bacterium
Lineage: Bacteria
Description: partial 16S ribosomal RNA
Rfam family: Bacterial small subunit ribosomal RNA
Source: RNAcentral